AUUUGGGUAGUUUAUCAAAAUAGAAGAUUGUGGAGCUUCAGUAGGUUUUUACCCUCGAAUA
This 61-nucleotide transfer RNA is filed under the name Friesea propria. RNAcentral describes it as "tRNA-His". The record is from RNAcentral. Lineage: Eukaryota; Metazoa; Arthropoda; Collembola; Poduromorpha; Neanuridae.